This 483-nucleotide ribosomal RNA is filed under the name uncultured bacterium. RNAcentral describes it as "partial 16S ribosomal RNA". It matches the Rfam family "Bacterial small subunit ribosomal RNA", at positions 28 to 507 of the family's 1533-position model. The record is from RNAcentral.
GACGAACGCUGGCGGCGUGCUUAACACAUGCAAGUCGAACGCUGAAGCUCAGCUUUUGUUGGGUGGAUGAGUGGCGAACGGGUGAGUAACACGUGAGUAACCUGCCCCCUUCUUUGGGAUAACGCCCGGAAACGGGUGCUAAUACUGGAUAUUCACUGGUCUUCGCAUGGGGGUUGGUGGAAAGGGUUUUUCUGGUGGGGGAUGGGCUCGCGGCCCAUCAGCUUGUUGGUGGGGUGAUGGCCUACCAAGGCUUUGACGGGUAGCCGGCCUGAGAGGGUGACCGGUCACAUUGGGAGUGAGAUACGGCCCAGACUCCUACGGGAGGCAGCAGUGGGGAAUAUUGCACGAUGGGCGCAAGCCUGAUGCAGCGACGCAGCGUGAGGGAUGGAGGCCUUCGGGUUGUGAACCUCUUUCGCUCAUGGUCAAGCCGCAACAAUGGUUGUGGUGAGGGUAGUGGGUAAAGAAGCGCCGGCUAACUACGUG